This 380-nucleotide ribosomal RNA is filed under the name uncultured eukaryote. RNAcentral's name for it is "partial 18S ribosomal RNA". It matches the Rfam family "Eukaryotic small subunit ribosomal RNA", at positions 592 to 976 of the family's 1831-position model. The record is from RNAcentral.
CAAUAGCGUAUAUUAAAGUUGUUGCGGUUAAAAAGCUCGUAGUUGGAUUUCUGUUGGGAACGACCGGUCCGCCCAUUGGGUGUGUAUCUGGCUUGUUCUCGGCAUCUUCUUGGUGAACGUUGCUGCACUUGACUGUGUGGAGCGCUACCCAGGACUUUUACUUUGAGGAAAUUAGAGUGUUUCAAGCAGGCAUAUGCCUUGAAUACAUUAGCAUGGAAUAAUAAGAUAGGACCACGGUUCUAUUUUGUUGGUUUCUAGAGCUGAGGUAAUGAUUAAUAGGGAUAGUUGGGGGCAUUCGUAUUUAACUGUCAGAGGUGAAAUUCUUGGAUUUGUUAACGACGGACUACUGCGAAAGCAUUUGCCAAGGAUGUUUUCAUUGA